CGGCGUGCCUAACACAUGCAAGUCGAACGGGGAUUUGUUUCGGCAGAAUCCUAGUGGCGAACGGGCGAGUAACGCGUAGGCAACCUGCCCUCCGGCCGGGGACAACACUCCGAAAGGGGUGCUAAUACCGGAUACGAAGUCUGUGCCGCAUGGUACGGAUUUGAAAGAUGGCCUCUAUUUAUAAGCUAUCGCCGGGGGAUGGGCCUGCGUCCGAUUAGCUGGUUGGUGGGGUAACGGCCUACCAAGGCGACGAUCGGUAGCCGGUCUGAGAGGAUGAACGGCCACAUUGGGACUGAGACACGGCCCAGACUCCUACGGGAGGCAGCAGUGGGGAAUCUUCCGCAAUGGGCGCAAGCCUGACGGAGCAACGCCGCCGUGAGUGAGGAAGUUCUUCGGAACGUAAAGCUCUGUUGUUCCUGACGAACCUCCCCUCUAUCAACAACGGAGGGGACUGACGGUAGGGAACGAGGAAGCCACGGCUAACUACGUGCCAGCCGCGGC
Molecule: ribosomal RNA, 501 nt
Filed under: uncultured bacterium
Lineage: Bacteria
Description: bacterial SSU rRNA
Rfam family: Bacterial small subunit ribosomal RNA
Source: RNAcentral